This 320-nucleotide ribosomal RNA is filed under the name uncultured Chlorobiota bacterium. Its description in RNAcentral is "bacterial SSU rRNA". It matches the Rfam family "Bacterial small subunit ribosomal RNA", at positions 28 to 351 of the family's 1533-position model. The record is from RNAcentral. Lineage: Bacteria; Pseudomonadati; Chlorobiota.
GACGAACGCUGGCGGCGUGCCUAACACAUGCAAGUCAAAGGGAAGCAUCUUCGGAUGUAAGUACUUGGCGCAAGGGUGAGUAAUGUAUAGGUAAUCUGCCCUUUGGACUGGGAUAACCCCGAGAAAUCGGGGACAAUACCAGAUGAUGCAGCGGAACCGCAUGGUUAUGUUGUUAAAGAUUUAUCGCCAAAGGAUGAACCUAUAUCCCAUCAGGUAGUUGGUAAGGUAACGGCUUACCAAGCCUACGACGGGUAGCUGGUUUGAGAGGAUGAUCAGCCACACUGGGACUGAGACACGGCCCAGACACCUACGGGUGGCAG